RNA transcript from Colossoma macropomum (tambaqui), 1717 nucleotides. RefSeq lists it as uncharacterized. The record is from RefSeq and is a predicted model, not a curated record. The transcript has 9 exons. NCBI's taxonomy places the organism in Eukaryota, Metazoa, Chordata, Actinopteri, Characiformes, Serrasalmidae.
AGCAGAUAGAAAGAACCACGAGACUUUUACCAGCCAAUGAACUUCAGUAUAAGAACCCAGCAAGCUAAUGCAGUUUGAUGCUUUAAGCAGUUACAGCCUUUAGAAUAUUCACCUUUGAGUUGUAGCUGUUGUUUUUCUGAUAAUGGAUCCAGCUGUGAUUAUCAUCUUACUUCUCUACAGAAUAGACUGAACUCAAGCAGUGGGAAAUUCAGAGCCGUUGGUCAUCUCAGCUGGGCCCGGUGAAGCAGACACACUCACCUGCACAUUUGCAGACAACUCAAAUAAAAAUGUUAGCAUGUGGUACAAACAAAGACUGGAGCAUGCGCCACUGGAAGUGGGAUCACUGUUAGAAGGAAAGUCGGCCAUGAUUUCAGAUCAAUUUUACAAAUCAAAAAGAUUUAAAAUCAACAGAAUUGCGAGUGGCAUUUGAACGUGUCACUAAAGAAGAUGAAGGAAUGUACUUCUGUGGAGAGACCAGAAAGAAAACACUGGACUUUACUACUGCUACAUUCUUAGCGGUCAAAGGACAGUUAAACAUAUCAGUGCUCCAGACUCCAGUACAGGGGUCAGUUUCUCCAGGAGAGUCAGUCACUCUGCAGUGCACGGUCCUCUCUGAGAUCAGAGCAGCAGAACUCCGAGUGCUCUGGUUCAGAGCUGCUGCAGGACAAUCCUUUCCUGAAAUCAUUUACACUCAUCAGAACAGCAGCAGCCGUCAGUGUGGGAUCAGCUUUUCUACAAGCUGCUCUCUGUAUGAGUUAUAUAAGGACAUCCUCAACUACAACCAUACUGGAACUUACUACUGCUCUGUGGCUGCUUGUGGGAAGAUCAUUUUUGGGAACGGGACAACAGUAGAAGUAAAAGCUCCUGUAGGUCCUGUAAUGCUGAUUCUGGCAGUUUUCUCAGCAGUGUGUGUGGCUGUAAUCUGCGCUCAACUCAUUUUAAUCCAUAAACUGAGAAAAUCUGAACACCACCCUGGUGAGAAAGUUCAGGAGGGGGCUGUGAGUGUGAGGACCACCAGACAGAUUCUGCUCAAGCUGUACAUCUUUCUGAAGCAUCAUUCAUCUCAGCUGAGUCUGGAGAAAAUGUUACUCUACACUGCAAAUUCAUGAAGAACCUGUGGAUUCUUUUGUGCUUUGUCUGGGAGCAGCUUUGGGAGUGUGUGUGGUUGUGAUCUCUGCUCAAGCCUUUAUAACCUGUAAAAGGAGAAACAGUGACCACUGCAGUGACAAAACAUGUCAGUCUGUCAUCCACAGUUUCCCAGAGAUGCUGCAAGACCAGGACUCAGAUGAAGAAUUCAAUUUCGCACCAUUAAAUUUAUCAGACAAGAGAUGACUGCUGAAGGAGAACGUGUUCACCCGAGUGAGAUUCUUCCGUUUCUGACUACAGAGCAAUCCAGAAACACAAUAUUGCUGAAAAAUGAAGAAAAUAAAUCAUAUUGAGUUAAAAGUAUUCAUAAAAAUUGUCAGUGUUUUCUAGACAUUUCUUUCUUUCUUUCUUUCUUAUUGUUUUUCUUAUAGCAUAUACAAACCAGCUGAAAACAUCACCAAGUAACUGUCAGACAUUAAAUAUAUUUCUUGUUGAAACCGUUAAAAAUCAUAAGCUAAUUUUGUGUAGCUAUUUAGCAUUUAGUGAUGUUUAUGUAAAUUUACUGUCAUGAUUGUAAAUAUGAAACUGUCAAUGGAAAAUGUCACAUUAAAGAAAUUACAUUUUUCAGAAA